Lynx canadensis (Canada lynx) is the source of this 810-nucleotide long non-coding RNA. RefSeq lists it as uncharacterized. Lineage: Eukaryota; Metazoa; Chordata; Mammalia; Carnivora; Felidae. The transcript has 3 exons. The record is from RefSeq and is a predicted model, not a curated record.
CAGGGGUGUUGGGAGAGCGGGUGUUGGGGGUGGGGCACAGAAGCCCCGAGUCCCUUCCCCAGACCUCGCCCGGGGCAGCCCCUCCCACUGACUGUUAGAUCCUUUCAGAGGAAAGCAGCGGAUCUAGCAAGUCAGGUGCUUUCCUGAGUCUUGUGAGCCGCUCUAACAAGUUAGUUGAACCCCAGGAAGGGUCGUGGGACCCUCUGGCCUACGUAGCUGGUCGGUCAGGAGCACAGGGGAGGGCCUGCACCCCUGGCUGGCGUCUGGCGUGGGGGAGGGGCAGCCCCGUGGGGUCGGACUCCGUUUCCAGGUGGCCGCUGUCAGAAUUCCGUUACGUUGUGGGACGCUGGGCCGGGGGUCCCAAUCCUCAGGAGUUACCUUGAGAACGGGAUUCAGAGGACCAAGGAAUCCUAGAGCGGCUGUAACCGAACCAAGAUUUUUGGUGGUGGCAGUGACAGGAUCCAAAGGAGACUUCUGCUAACUUCGGUGACUAUGAGACACGCAGGCUGUAGGGGGCCCUCUUCAGGCAUCUUUCACUGCUUGGCCAAAUGCCAAAGUGGGAGCAGUAAAGAACUGUCUACACCCGGGGGGAUCUGCAGAAGUAUUCUGAGGAAUUUGGAGUUCUUCUCAAGGCUUCUGAGCCUGGGCUGCCAGAUCUUUCUCAAGCGUGUGCACCUGUGAGAGAGAAGGACCUGGUGAAGCCUCCAAACGGACGUGGGAGCAGACCGGUGUCACUCCAAGGGCAACAUUCAAGAUUUUUGAUCUUCAAGAGGGUCUGGAAAAAAACCCACAAAAUAGCAUUGAGUCUUU